This 460-nucleotide ribosomal RNA is filed under the name uncultured bacterium. RNAcentral describes it as "partial 16S ribosomal RNA". It matches the Rfam family "Bacterial small subunit ribosomal RNA", at positions 338 to 795 of the family's 1533-position model. The record is from RNAcentral.
CCUACGGGAGGCAGCAGUGAGGGAUAUUGGUCAAUGGGCGCGAGCCUGAACCAGCGAAGUAGCGUGAAGGAUGACUGCCCUACGGGUUGUAAACUUCUUUUGUAAAGGAGUAGAGUGCGGCACGUGGGCCUUUUUGUAUGUACUUUAUGAAUACGGAUGGGCUAACUCCGUGCCAGCAGCCGCGGUAAUACGGAGGAUCCGGGCGUUAUGCGGAUUUAUUGGGUUUAAAGGGGGCGCAGAUGGGUUGUUAAGUCAGUUGUGAAAGUUUGCGGCUCAACCGUAAAAUUGCAAUUGAUACUGGCAGUCUUGAGUACAGUUGAGGUAGGCGGAAUGCGUAGUGUAGCGGUGAAAUGCUUAGAUAUCACGAAGAACUCCGAUUGCGAAGGCAGCUUACUAAACUGCCACUGACAUUGAUGCUCGAAAGUGUGGGUAUCAAACAGGAUUAGUUACCCUUGUAGUC